This 289-nucleotide ribosomal RNA is filed under the name uncultured Glomeromycotina. RNAcentral describes it as "partial large subunit ribosomal RNA". Lineage: Eukaryota; Fungi; Glomeromycota. The record is from RNAcentral.
AAUCAAUCACUCCGACAUCUAGACAAUCGAAUCCCACCGACGUUAGCGAGCUAUCGCAGGCGGGGCAACCGUCAGAAGCCAGGUGACGAGCCACGAGGGUAUCCGCUGCAAUCCUCAAUCCCGGUCACCACAUAGAUCGAGAUCUAUAACACUUUUCCGAAGAAAAGCCACAUUCUCUCAAAUUUUUUAUGAUAACCGAAAUUGAUGCUAACCUGCCGGGUGAGAAAGUGCACCUGAAAGUACGAGGGAAAACCCACACACCAUCAGGUUGAUUCCUCACUAGCAGGAC